RNAcentral lists this ribosomal RNA (503 nucleotides) under uncultured soil bacterium. Its description in RNAcentral is "bacterial SSU rRNA". It matches the Rfam family "Bacterial small subunit ribosomal RNA", at positions 26 to 527 of the family's 1533-position model. The record is from RNAcentral.
AGAAUGAACGCUGGCGGCGCGCCUAAUACAUGCAAGUCGAGCGAGAAGACGUAGCAAUACGUUUGUAAAGCGGCGAACGGGUGAGGAAUACAUGGGUAACCUACCCUCGAGUGGGGAAUAACUAGCCGAAAGGUUAGCUAAUACCGCGUAUGCUCCUUGGACUUCGGUUCAGGGAGGAAAGCGAUACCGUGGGUAUCGCGCUCUUGGUUGGGCUCAUGUCCUAUCAGCUUGUUGGUGAGGUAACGGCUCACCAAGGCUUCGACGGGUAGCUGGUCUGAGAGGACGAUCAGCCACACUGGCACUGCGACACGGGCCAGACUCCUACGGGAGGCAGCAGUAAGGAUAUUGCGCAAUGGGCGAAAGCCUGACGCAGCGACGCCGCGUGGGGGAUGAAGGUCUUCGGAUUGUAAACCCCUUUCGGAGGUAAGAUGGAACGAGCAAUCGUUCGGACGGUACCUCCAGAAGCAGCCACGGCUAACUCGUGCCAGCAGCCGCGUAAUCUA